This 470-nucleotide ribosomal RNA is filed under the name uncultured bacterium. RNAcentral's name for it is "bacterial SSU rRNA". It matches the Rfam family "Bacterial small subunit ribosomal RNA", at positions 330 to 793 of the family's 1533-position model. The record is from RNAcentral.
CUGUGACUCCUACGGGAGGCAGCAGUGGGGAAUAUUGCACAAUGGGGGAAACCCUGAUGCAGCCAUGCCGCGUGUGUGAAGAAGGCCUUCGGGUUGUAAAGCACUUUCAGUAGGGAGGAAGGUAGUGUAGUUAACACCUGCAUUAUUUGACGUUACCUACAGAAGAAGCACCGGCUAACUCCGUGCCAGCAGCCGCGGUAAUACGGAGGGUGCGAGCGUUAAUCGGAAUUACUGGGCGUAAAGCGCAUGCAGGCGGCCUGUUAAGUCAGAUGUGAAAGCCCGGGGCUUAACCUCGGAAUUGCAUUUGAAACUGGCAGGCUAGAGUCUUGUAGAGGGGGUAGAAUUUCAGGUGUAGCGGUGAAAUGCGUAGAGAUCUGAAGGAAUACCAGUGGCGAAGGCGGCCCCCUGGACAAAGACUGACGCUCAGAUGCGAAAGCGUGGGGAGCAAACAGGAUUAGAUACCCUGGUAG